This is a long non-coding RNA of Ictidomys tridecemlineatus (thirteen-lined ground squirrel), 821 nucleotides long. RefSeq lists it as uncharacterized. Lineage: Eukaryota; Metazoa; Chordata; Mammalia; Rodentia; Sciuridae. The record is from RefSeq and is a predicted model, not a curated record.
GAAUGCCCGGCACAUAGUAGGUCCUUUGUUGGAUGGAUGGAUGAAUGAACGAGCGAAUGAAUGAAGUUGCACUUCAGAUUCCAACUGGGAAGCAGAGGAGCCAGAUUUCUGAAAAUCGGAAGAACACAAAUAGUGGAUCCUGAAUCUUCCCACCUAACUGCAUGGAGUCUGUAUGACUGGGAUUUUAAGGCUGCACAUUUUCCAUUAUAUUGAUGAUCAUUUAAUAAAAUCAUUCCCUGGCAUCUUUAUUGUUUGUUUACCCUAUCAGAGAUUGAAGGAAUCAUCAUCUUCAUGUCUUCCUUUUCCUCUUUUUUUUCCCACUGAUUAUUUUCAGAAAGAAAUAGAUGGUUUAGCCAAAUAUUACGUCUUACUUAUAGCUCUUGCUGUGUACCUCAUUGCUUUCCAAAGUGUUAAUAAUGGCAGCAGCAAUGUCUGUAUACCCAACAAUUAUGAGUUGAGUAUUUCCUGGUUCUAGGUAGGAACUGAGCUGGGCUGUGGACAUGGAGCUGCCCUCAUGUGGCUUCCAUUCUGGGGCAGGAGACCAGCUUUACUCUCCUUCUCACACUAGUACAUAGUUACACACUGAGAAAGAGUGGGAAGGAAAAAUACAAGCCUUCUUCCAAGAGGCUGAAAUCUGUCUUGUAACAAUUUCAGCAGAACUAGUUGUAGUAGGGGUUCGGGGUGAUAGCCCUAGUGUAAAUCUGCAGAAAUUGCAAAUGUAGACCUAAAUUUUUUACAGAUGAAUAACUAGAAUAUAAUCAAGAACCUGUCCUGACCUUUCCUCCUACUUUUUCUUUUCUUUCUUUCUUCAUUUUAUUUUA